AGCUGAAUGGCGCAGCGGAAGCGCGCCGGGCUCAUAACCCGGAGGACGCACGAUCGGUAAGCAAUACCUACUCACAAUGAGUCAUUCGAAUUCAAUUA
This is a transfer RNA of 98 nucleotides. It matches the Rfam family "tRNA". Rfam says of the family: Transfer RNA (tRNA) molecules are approximately 80 nucleotides in length. Their secondary structure includes four short double-helical elements and three loops (D, anti-codon, and T loops). Further hydrogen bonds mediate the characteristic L-shaped molecular structure. tRNAs have two regions of fundamental functional importance: the anti-codon, which is responsible for specific mRNA codon recognition, and the 3' end, to which the tRNAs corresponding amino acid is attached (by aminoacyl-tRNA synthetases). tRNAs cope with the degeneracy of the genetic code in two manners: having more than one tRNA (with a specific anti-codon) for a particular amino acid; and 'wobble' base-pairing, i.e. permitting non-standard base-pairing at the 3rd anti-codon position. The record is from Rfam.